AAGCAGCCUCGUGAGAGUGAGCAAAGCNCAAAAAUAACCGUCCCAGUUCGGAUUGUAGUCUGCAACCCGACUACAUGAAGCUGGAAUCGCUAGUAAUCGCAAAUCAGAAUGUUGCGGUGAAUACGUUCCCGGGCCUUGUACACACCGCCCGUCAAACCAUGAGAGUUGGCAACACCCGAAGUCGGUAGUCUAACCGCAAGGAGGACGCCGCCGAAGGUGGGGUUGAUGAUUAGGGUUAAGUCGUAACAAGGUAGC
RNAcentral lists this ribosomal RNA (255 nucleotides) under uncultured bacterium. Its description in RNAcentral is "partial 16S ribosomal RNA". It matches the Rfam family "Bacterial small subunit ribosomal RNA", at positions 1247 to 1500 of the family's 1533-position model. The record is from RNAcentral.